ACACAGUGACGUCAGUUCCAAAGCGCUAUUGUGUCAGACUCAUCUCCCGCUGAAGAGGAUCCAGCGACAUCAAGAGAUUACGGAAAAUCACGCGAGAUAACUGGCUCGCACCUUGUUGGGUUUUUUCAAGGGCAGAGGGGAGAUUCCUGGCGUGCAUCUACUUAAUUUGAAGAAGAACAUCACCUGUCUGUAAUCCACCUGCGUAAGUACUGGUCAAGGGGCUCAUCGGCUAUCAAGUUAUAGAUUUCAGUGGCUAAUAGAAGACACUGCUGAGGUCAGACGAGAGUGCAUCCUCAAAUGUCUGUGUGUACCUAAAUGAAGAUCCAGAGAAGCUGGUGAGGGAGUACAUGGACGUUGAUGAAUGCGCAGAAAUGGCCAAAGCCGAGGCUGUCCUCGGAAUCGUCAUUUGAGCAGAGGGUGCAGAGGCUGCCGAUGCACAUCUGGAUGUUGGGAUUGUCCUGGAGGAGGUGGAAGUUAUGAACAGCUUGGGCAGUGUAUCUUCUGCAAUAGUGAUGCUGCUGGGACUAAUCUAUGCACUAAACUUGAGCUACCCUCAAGUUUAGUGCGAUCAGCACUCAACUUGCUCAGUAACUCAAGCAUACCUUUGAAGUAAUACAGAAAAUAAUAAUGAAAUUGGAUGGAAAGAACUUAUCAAAGAAAGCACAAGUUCUCAAUAUGAAACUCGCUGCUAAGUUGAGCAAAGUUUCACAUGGAAAAUGAGUGUUUAAAGUCUGCAGUAGAAAAGAUUUAUAUUGUUACAGUUCUCUAAGUUGAGCAACUAUACUGACAUGUUUUAUGUUGUAAAGAAUUGGCUGGGAAAUGAAACUGUAACCUUUUUGUAGUUGUUUUUUUAUUUCAAUGUCCAACUCAGCUGUGUUUUGUGCUGUGUAAAAAAACGAUGUAUAACAAUUCUGAAAAUACAAUUGUGUUGUACCUUU
Poeciliopsis prolifica (blackstripe livebearer) is the source of this 938-nucleotide long non-coding RNA. RefSeq lists it as uncharacterized. The record is from RefSeq and is a predicted model, not a curated record. The transcript is spliced from 4 exons. NCBI's taxonomy places the organism in Eukaryota, Metazoa, Chordata, Actinopteri, Cyprinodontiformes, Poeciliidae.